Molecule: ribosomal RNA, 433 nt
Filed under: uncultured bacterium
Lineage: Bacteria
Description: partial 16S ribosomal RNA
Rfam family: Bacterial small subunit ribosomal RNA
Source: RNAcentral
AACGAACGCUGGCGGCAUGCCUAACACAUGCAAGUCGAACGAGACCUUCGGGUCUAGUGGCGCACGGGUGCGUAACGCGUGGGAACCUGCCCUUAGGCUCGGAAUAACUCCCCGAAAGGGGUGCUAAUACCGGGUAAUGUAUUCGGACACAAGAUUGAUCGCAUUUGUUUGGGCCCGCGUUGGAUUAGCUUGUUGGUAGGGAAAGAGCCUACCAAGGCGUCGCUCCAUAGCUGGUUUGAGAGGAUGAUCAGCCACACUUGGACUGUGACACGGCCCAGACUCCUACGCGAGGCAGCAGUGGGGAAUAUUGGAAAAUGGGCGAAAGCCUGAUCCAGCAAUGCCGGGUGAGUGAUGAAGGUCGUAGGGAUGUAAAGCUCUUUUACCCGGGAUGAUAAUGACAGUACCGGGAGAAUAAGCUCCGGCUAACUCCGUG